This is a long non-coding RNA of Haliotis rubra (blacklip abalone), 418 nucleotides long. RefSeq lists it as uncharacterized. NCBI's taxonomy places the organism in Eukaryota, Metazoa, Mollusca, Gastropoda, Lepetellida, Haliotidae. The record is from RefSeq and is a predicted model, not a curated record. The transcript is spliced from 3 exons.
AUUCCGCUUCCGUUUAUGUGGCGUGUUUGUUUACCCUGGAUACAAGAUGCUGAUUCCACUGUAUCUACGAAUAAGGAAGUCAAUAUAUUUGAGGGGGUGGUCGAAAUACUGCCAAACUUUCAGCUGUAGCUCAGACAGUCCACGACAUCCUGGGUGAAACAAAUGUUUCCAUUUCUGGACUGGAGGAAGGCAUUGACACCUCCUUUCUCCAAGUCAUUGAUAUGACAAGUUCACUGGAUAAAGAGAGCCUGUUUGCAGCAAUGCCUCCAGUGCAGACAGUGCAGACGGCGCAGCCCACAUACAGUAUGCACAUGCAGGACUUCCAGCCUGUACAAAAUCCACCACUGCCUUGCCCAGAUCAGGAUAGGGACCAUCAGGCCAGGAAGCGCCAGCUGGAGCUUGAUGCCCUAGAAGCUCA